AAAUCUCAACCUCCUUGGUUUCUUCUGAACACCAAAGGAGGCUUGGACUUUGGAGGCCUUUGCUGGUACCUCUCUAUUUUGAAGGCCAGCUCCUCUUAAAUGAAUUAGCGGGGUCCUCUUUGCCAGUCCUCGACGUGUGAUAAGAUGUUUCCAUGUCUUGGCUUCUGGCUCUGUUGCUUUUGGGACCCGCUUCUAACCGUCUCAACCUUGCAUAGAGACAACGUUCGAGCAUGUUCUCCCUUCUCGGGAAACACUCUCGACCCCACGAAC
This 270-nucleotide unclassified non-coding RNA is filed under the name uncultured Lactarius. RNAcentral describes it as "sequence contains ITS2". The record is from RNAcentral. Lineage: Eukaryota; Fungi; Basidiomycota; Agaricomycetes; Russulales; Russulaceae.